GAUGAAGAACGCAGCGAAAUGCGAUAAGUAAUGUGAAUUGCAGAAUUCAGUGAAUCAUCGAAUCUUUGAACGCACAUUGCGCCCCCUGGUAUUCCGGGGGGCAUGCCUGUCCGAGCGUCAUUAACCCUCAAGCUCAGCUUGGUGUUGGGCCCCGCCGCCCCGGCGGGCCCUAAAGUCAGUGGCGGUGCCGUCCGGCUCCGAGCGUAGUAAUUCUUCUCGCUCUGGAGGUCCGGUCGUGUGCUCGCCAGCAACCCCCAAUUUUUUUCAGGUUGACCUCGGAUCAGGUAGGGAUACCCGCUGAACUUAAGCAUAUCAAUAAGCGGAGGA
Molecule: unclassified non-coding RNA, 327 nt
Filed under: soil metagenome
Description: partial contains 5.8S ribosomal RNA, internal transcribed spacer 2, and large subunit ribosomal RNA
Rfam family: 5.8S ribosomal RNA (bases 1-120)
Source: RNAcentral